RNAcentral lists this ribosomal RNA (420 nucleotides) under uncultured bacterium. Its description in RNAcentral is "bacterial SSU rRNA". It matches the Rfam family "Bacterial small subunit ribosomal RNA", at positions 173 to 569 of the family's 1533-position model. The record is from RNAcentral.
UGAGCCCACAGGCAGAGAUGCGAGGGGGCAAAGGGUGCUACUCGAUAGUGGCAUGUCUUCAGGGAGGGGCCCACGGCCUAGCAGCUAGUUGGUGUGGUAACGGCGCACCAAGGCGAAGACGGGUAGCUGGUCUGAGAGGAUGGCCAGCCACACGGGGACUGAGACACGGCCCCGACUCCUACGGGAGGCAGCAGUGGGGAAUAUUGGGCAAUGGGCGCAAGCCUGACCCAGCGACGCCGCGUGGGUGAUGAAGGCCUUCGGGUCGUAAAGCCCUGUCGGGUGGAAAGAACGGGAGGGGUGCAAAUAGCGCUUCUCCGUGACGGUACCACCGAAGGAAGCACCGGCCAAUUUCCGUGCCAGCAGCCGCGGUAAGACGGAAGGUGCAAGCGUUGCUUCGGAAAUCACUGGGCGUAAAAGGGU